UCUUCCUUGCUUCUGCUAUCUUGGUCUUUUCUCCUCUCUGCCGCCUGUGCCGUCGAAGUUGGAAUCGCUUUUUGCUCUUCGCGAUUUGCUGCGUCUUGCGUUUCGCCAGCUUCCUCCAUGCGUGCUCGCUGCCGUUUCCUCCAUUCUCCAUGUUGACCUCCCGUAGUUUCUGUGAUUUGCUCUUGCUUGUUCUGUUUUCCUCUUCCUCGCUACGCCUCCUGUUGGAUGUGUUCGCGACUCAGUAAACAACGAUUCAGGUGCUCGACAGAAUGCUCCAGUUGUGACAUGACACAACAAGCUCUGUUGGCAAUGGAACAAUUCUUUGGCAAAGUGAAGGCUACAUCCAGAAGAUGGACUUCUAAUUGUUUUACACUUACUAUGUAUUUUUCCUGCUUGAUCAAGAUUAUUUGAUAUUAAGUCAAUUCUUUCAUUCAUUAGGUUAUGAUUUAAAAGCCAAAUUGAAAUCCUUUUGCUUUCCUAGUUUUUCCUUUUCAAGUUUAUUCAGAUUCCAUUCCAUUUAGUGUAACAUAUCUAAUUAAAUGCCCAGCUAAUCUUGUAUUCA
Long non-coding RNA from Panicum virgatum (switchgrass), 562 nucleotides. RefSeq lists it as uncharacterized. The transcript is spliced from 2 exons. NCBI's taxonomy places the organism in Eukaryota, Viridiplantae, Streptophyta, Magnoliopsida, Poales, Poaceae. The record is from RefSeq and is a predicted model, not a curated record.